Molecule: long non-coding RNA, 1615 nt
Organism: Equus asinus (donkey)
Lineage: Eukaryota; Metazoa; Chordata; Mammalia; Perissodactyla; Equidae
Source: Ensembl
CCCUCUUUAUGGUUAGGUUUUUAAUUCUAGGUUAGGCAAAUGUGGGCAUACUAUUACAGAUAUGGUUUAAAGUUUUGAUAACAAAAGUGUUUGGGGAGAUUCCACAUAAUUAGAUUUUUUAAAUGCCUGCCAUAAAUAAAACUGAAAUGUAGAAUGGCUGACUGUGGCAGUGACCAGUCCUCUUUAUGGACAUGGUUGGAUUUUGGUCUUUAAUGCAUGCUAGUGUUGAUGUUUUUUGGUCAAGAGGAUAUGAACAGAGAGGAUUAUGCAGCAGGCUUUAUUUUAAUGCAGAAUUCACAUUACUCUGUUUAAGCUGCGUUGAAAUGUUAAAAUGGCUUACACUUGUAGACUUUGUAAAUCAGAGUAACAGCAAACUGAAAUCCUUGAGAUCACACAGGUUGGAAAUAUGUACUAAUAAACUGCACAAGGUGUCAUUUCUAUAUAGUGCAGUUUUAGUCUAUUUUAGUUGCAUAGGUUUCCAUUGUAUUUAUAGUCUCUUUUAUGCUAAAUUUGGCCAAAGAUGAUCAUCCACCUCUGAAAAUGCCUCUGCCACUUUGGGAAUUCUGUGCUGGUUUUGUGGCCAGAAUGCACUGAUCUUUACAAUGGCGUUAAGAAGGCAAAAAUUCCUUAAAAGUGCAAUAGAUUUUUAAGCGUAUUGUGCCUUGUUCUAAAACUUUAUUAAGUAGGUGCACUUGACAGUAUUAAGGUCAUUUGUUACGGUGCUAUUUCAAUUAGUAGAGGUUUAGACUUGUACAUUUUGCCCAUAACUUUUUACGAAGUACUUAUUUUAUUGCACAUUCAGAAAAUUUUAUAUAUGUGUCUUGUGUGCGUGUCCUUAAACUUCCAAUCUUAUUUUGUCUCUUGGAGAUUGUUGAACGCAUCUUGUGAAGAACUAGAUUAUAAAAUUUUGUUUGGGACCAUGGAGUGAUAGUUGAGAAGAAACCUAUUUGCACAUGACAGAUUUUAGAUACUUUUUUGCUGCUGUUGAUUUAAUAUUUAUUUAAAUUUGAUGAAUAUUUAUUUUUGUAAGCCUAAAAGUGAUUCUUUGAAAGUUUAAAAAAAACUUGACCAAAAGACAGUACAAAAACACUGGCACUUGAAUGUUGAAUGUCACCGUAUGUGAAAUAAUAUAUUUUGGGGUAGUGUGAGCUUUUAAUGUUAGUCCUAUUAAACUUGAGUCACAUUAAGCAAACCCGGCACUGGCAAUGUAGCUAACUGUAACUUUCUGACAAAAUUUAAGACAAAAUUGGCAACUUGAAAGUAAAACAUGCCAAGGUUUUGAUACACUUGUCUUAAAAUAUUAAUGAAAAAUUUCUAAACACUGAUAUGAAGUGUCCACAUUCUCAGAGGUUCUCAGAUUUGUUUAGUUAUUUGUUUUGCUUUGUUUUCAGUAACUGUCUGGCAUAUUUGCAAUCCUCAAACAUGUGGUUAUUCUUGUGUAUUGCCAUAGUCAGUGACUUACAUUCAGUUUUAGGAUUUAAACUUGCUGAAUGUAGACUUUAAACCUCAAGUCACUGUAUGUUUUAGUAAUUCCUUAUUGUAUUAGUUUUAGUUGCUAGCACUGCAUGUGCUGUGUUUAUUCUGAUUUUACUAAAAUAAAAAGUUGAACACCAUG